RNAcentral lists this ribosomal RNA (565 nucleotides) under low G+C Gram-positive bacterium zo05. RNAcentral's name for it is "bacterial SSU rRNA". It matches the Rfam family "Bacterial small subunit ribosomal RNA", at positions 346 to 902 of the family's 1533-position model. Lineage: Bacteria; Bacillati; Bacillota. The record is from RNAcentral.
AGGCAGCAGUAGGGAAUCUUCCACAAUGGGCGAAAGCCUGAUGGAGCAACGCCGCGUGAGUGAAGAAGGUUUUCGGAUCGUAAAACUCUGUUGUAAGGGAAGAACAAGUACAGUAGUAACUGGCUGUACCUUGACGGUACCUUAUUAGAAAGCCACGGCUAACUACGUGCCAGCAGCCGCGGUAAUACGUAGGUGGCAAGCGUUGUCCGGAAUUAUUGGGCGUAAAGCGCGCGCAGGCGGUCCUUUAAGUCUGAUGUGAAAGCCCACGGCUCAACCGUGGAGGGUCAUUGGAAACUGGGGGACUUGAGUGCAGAAGAGGAAAGUGGAAUUCCAAGUGUAGCGGUGAAAUGCGUAGAGAUUUGGAGGAACACCAGUGGCGAAGGCGACUUUCUGGUCUGUAACUGACGCUGAGGCGCGAAAGCGUGGGGAGCAAACAGGAUUAGAUACCCUGGUAGUCCACGCCGUAAACGAUGAGUGCUAAGUGUUAGGGGGUUUCCGCCCCUUAGUGCUGCAGCUAACGCAUUAAGCACUCCGCCUGGGGAGUACGGUCGCAAGACUGAAACUC